This is a long non-coding RNA of Hippopotamus amphibius kiboko, 1150 nucleotides long. RefSeq lists it as uncharacterized. The record is from RefSeq and is a predicted model, not a curated record. Lineage: Eukaryota; Metazoa; Chordata; Mammalia; Artiodactyla; Hippopotamidae. The transcript has 3 exons.
GGUACCCACUGGGGAGGUAACCUCUCACCCUAGUCACGGCUCCCCCGCUGAGAAAAUGGACUCAGCCUGGUAUUGAGGCAUGCUAGGGUCCCAUGGCAAGAAGUUGGCAGGGCCAGGACUCAGGUCCAGGAUUUUCUGACCACAGAGUUUAGCCCUGCCACCCCGUAGGCGUUCCCCAAGUGCACAUUGGUGCCCUGAAUCAUCUCUGAGGCAGGUGUGUGGGGCCCUUUGGGGCCUUGUGUUUUCCAGGUGCCUCGUGGAGAAAGUCUCUGGCACUUGCCUUGCUCCCUUGAAACAGAAUAGGCCAGGCUCUCUGAGCAGAAACUCACAGAAUUGUUCCCUGUGUGCAUCCUUAGGGUCUCAUCUUUACCACAAGGGAAAUGGCAGGAAAGUGGGGAAUGUGAUGCCUCAGGCUCUGGGGAGGGGAAACCCUCAGCCUGUGUGCAGGUUCCACAGAGCGUGUGGGACAAGCAGCCUGGCCUCCCUGCUGUCCCCAGCCAUGAAGUCACACACCACUCCCUUGGGCUGGGUCUGUACUCACCCACUCUGUCAUUCCUUGGGUGGGUUCAGCCCUUGCUCUUAGUGGGGGAAGACUGAUCGGGUGGGGGCAGGAUGUUGGGGUGUGGGUGGGGCAGUCACUGCUGCAGGGCAGGGACUGACAGAGGUUUGUGAGUUGGACGCCGAACCUGUUGUGGAGGUGAUAUACCCACGAGGACACUUUUGGCCACAAGUAACACAAGUCCCCACUCAGUCAGUGAGGAGAUGCGAUGGCGCUCGUAACAAAAAGUGCCGGAGCAGCAGCCAUCUGGGCUGCUUGAUUCAGCAGCUCUAGACGCCAUCAGGGACUCAGGAAGAAGGAAGCAGGAGUGGAUGCUGGGCAGGCGGCCAGUCGCAUCUACUACAUGUGAGCCAGCGUGAGCUAGACACGGCACAAAGUGAAGGGCGUCUGGAGGGACUGCCACGCAGGAGUGAAGCGGCAGAGAUGGCGGGCGCUGUGCCACCGUGGCAGGGGUGCAGGCUGUGUGUUUUGGGAAACAACCGUAAUAGCUCUGCUCAUCUGUAAAGAAGCUGGAAAUACCUGUUCCUUUGACCAGUCAUUCCACUUCUGAGAUGCCAUCCCCAGAAAUAAUGUUUGGAAUCGUGGCCAUCA